Malus domestica (apple) is the source of this 1271-nucleotide non-coding RNA. Lineage: Eukaryota; Viridiplantae; Streptophyta; Magnoliopsida; Rosales; Rosaceae. The record is from RefSeq and is a predicted model, not a curated record.
UAUUUCACUCAAUUCACUCCCACUUAUUCUUUCUCUGCUUCUUCCAUAUUUUUCUCCUUUCUCACUGCCGACAACCCAAAACAACCAUGGUAUUUGCCGAUCUCAUCUCCCAUUCUUCGCGACAACAACGAAACUUACCUCAACCCUAAUUUUCAACCAGCCGUUCUCUCUGUCUCUCUCUCUCCUUCUUGCGCUCAACCCCUCUCCUCCUCCCUAACCCUAGCUCCCUUACCCUUUCGAUUGUAAAGCUUUCUCGAGUCCUCGCUUCUUCGUCUUAAAUUUCAGGUAGACGGGUCAUGUGCCUACUUCAACAACACCGAUACUAUUCUCACUUGGCCACCUGCUCGUAGCUCCCUUACCUUUUCGAUUGUAAAGCUUUCUCAGGUCAUUGCUUCUACGUCUUAAAUUUCAGGUAGACGGGCCAUGUGCCCACUCCAACAAUAUCGAUACUGUCCUCACUUGGCUACCUGCUCAAUUCGUCAGGUUUAGAGUUUUAAUACAAAAUGCCUCAAUGUUAGUUAGAAUGGAGUAAUUUUAUUUAAAGGGCUUAUUUUCAAGCCUUUUGGCUGAUGUGGGACAGAUGAAUUCUAAUACUCCCUCGUGAGAAGUCGAGGAUUUAGGGCUGUCUUCUUCCUGAGCUCUAGUUCAGUUCCUCAAAUUGAGAUAGAGAGCCUACCGAGUUGAAUGAUGUCACAUUCACAGACUUUUUCGGGUUUUGAUACCAUCUUAAAUUUCAGGUCGACUGGAGAUCCACGACCUCUCCUCAUUGACGUCUCAGACGUGGACGGUUCACUCGUCAGCUCGUUUGCCGGGGACAGCAUGUUUUCAAUUUCAGGUCCCUUUAUUGCCCUCAGCUCCGCACACGUCAGUGACCUCGCCCACCGAGCCCAAACUCGUAUGUAUUGUUGAUCUUUAUACCUCGACCUUGCCGACUCGCCCAAACUUGUAAUCUCUCCGCCACUUCUGGCUCUCGGAGUCUGCAGCUCAGUUUUCAAGGCCACCAAGUCUAUCUAUAUUCACGAAGUCCAUCUCUAUUUCCAGUGCCUAGUUUCCAAAGGCGAAGUUGAGCCAGGUAGAGAUAGCAAUUACUGAGGCUCAAGCAUUACGAGGAGCAUGUCACUCUUAAAAAACAUGUUUGCUGGAGGUGUUCAAGAAAAUGUGAAGUCUUUUAAGUGGCAAUUUCCUUCAAAUUUGGUGCCUGUUUCGUACUUUGACGGAUGGUUUCAUAUUUUUUAGUAUAGCUCAUUGGUUUUAGACCUGAUUUUUUUUAA